CAGCAGCCGCGGGAAUACAGAGGGUGCGAGCGUUAAUCGGAUUUACUGGGCGUAAAGCGUGCGUAGGCGGCUUUUUAAGUCGGAUGUGAAAUCCCUGAGCUUAACUUAGGAAUUGCAUUCGAUACUGGGAAGCUAGAGUAUGGGAGAGGAUGGUAGAAUUCCAGGUGUAGCGGUGAAAUGCGUAGAGAUCUGGAGGAAUACCGAUGGCGAAGGCAGCCAUCUGGCCUAAUACUGACGAUGAGGUACGAAAGCAUGGGGAGCAAACAGGAUUAGAUACCCCCGUAGUCCCUGUCUCUUAUAA
Molecule: ribosomal RNA, 301 nt
Filed under: uncultured bacterium
Lineage: Bacteria
Description: partial 16S ribosomal RNA
Rfam family: Bacterial small subunit ribosomal RNA
Source: RNAcentral